AUCCAGCUGAUGAGUCUCAAAUAGAACAGAACUUGCGUCCUGGAU
Molecule: non-coding RNA, 45 nt
Filed under: Schistosoma mansoni
Lineage: Eukaryota; Metazoa; Platyhelminthes; Trematoda; Strigeidida; Schistosomatidae
Source: RNAcentral